UACGUAGGGGGCAAGCGUUGUCCGGAUUUACUGGGCGUAAAGGGAGCGCAGGCGGCGCGCCAAGUCUGAUGUGAAACCCCGGGGCUCAACCCCGGGCAUGCAUUGGAAACUGGCGGGCUGGAGUGCCGGAGAGGUAAGCGGAAUUCCUAGUGUAGCGGUGAAAUGCGUAGAUAUUAGGAGGAACACCAGUGGCGAAGGCGGCUUACUGGACGGCAACUGACGCUGAGGCUCGAAAGCGUGGGGAGCAAACAGG
Molecule: ribosomal RNA, 253 nt
Filed under: uncultured bacterium
Lineage: Bacteria
Description: partial 16S ribosomal RNA
Rfam family: Bacterial small subunit ribosomal RNA
Source: RNAcentral